This 431-nucleotide ribosomal RNA is filed under the name uncultured bacterium. RNAcentral describes it as "partial 16S ribosomal RNA". It matches the Rfam family "Bacterial small subunit ribosomal RNA", at positions 29 to 507 of the family's 1533-position model. The record is from RNAcentral.
AGCGAACGCUGGCGGCAGGCUUAACACAUGCCAGUCGAGCGCCCCGCAAGGGGAGCGGCAGACGGGAGAGUACCACGUGGGAACAUACCUUUUGGUUCGGAACAACUGAGGGAAACUUCAGCUAAUACCGGAUAAGCCCUUACGGGGAAAGAUUUAUCGCCGAAAGAUUGGCCCGCGUCUGAUUAGCUAGUUGGUGAGGUAACGGCUCACCAAGGCGACGAUCAGUAGCUGGUCUGAGAGGAUGAUCAGCCUCACUGGGACUGAGACACGGCCCAGACUCCUACGGGAGGCAGCAGUGGGGAAUAUUGGACAAUGGGGGCAACCCUGAUCCAGCCAUGCCGCGUGAGUGAUGAAGGCCUUAGGGUUGUAAAGCUCUUUUGCCCGGGAAGAUAAUGACGGUACCGGGAGAAUAAGCCCCGGCUAACUUCGUG